This 492-nucleotide ribosomal RNA is filed under the name uncultured bacterium. Its description in RNAcentral is "partial 16S ribosomal RNA". It matches the Rfam family "Bacterial small subunit ribosomal RNA", at positions 29 to 507 of the family's 1533-position model. The record is from RNAcentral.
AGUGAACGCUGGCGGUAGGCCUAACACAUGCAAGUCGAACGGCAGCACAGUAAGAGCUUGCUCUUACGGGUGACGAGUGGCGGACGGGUGAGGAAUACAUCGGAAUCUACUUUUUCGUGGGGGAUAACGUAGGGAAACUUACGCUAAUACCGCAUACGACCUACGGGUGAAAGCAGGGGAUCUUCGGACCUUGCGCGAUUGAAUGAGCCGAUGUCGGAUUAGCUAGUUGGCGGGGUAAAGGCCCACCAAGGCGACGAUCCGUAGCUGGUCUGAGAGGAUGAUCAGCCACACUGGAACUGAGACACGGUCCAGACUCCUACGGGAGGCAGCAGUGGGGAAUAUUAGACAAUGGGCGCAAGCCUGAUCCAGCCAUACCGCGUGGGUGAAGAAGGCCUUCGGGUUGUAAAGCCCUUUUGUUGGGAAAGAAAAGCAGCAGGUUAAUACCCCGCUGUUCUGACGGUACCCAAAGAAUAAGCACCGGCUAACUUCGUG